This 74-nucleotide transfer RNA is filed under the name Acidimicrobiia bacterium. RNAcentral describes it as "tRNA-Pro". It matches the Rfam family "tRNA". Rfam says of the family: Transfer RNA (tRNA) molecules are approximately 80 nucleotides in length. Their secondary structure includes four short double-helical elements and three loops (D, anti-codon, and T loops). The record is from RNAcentral. Lineage: Bacteria; Bacillati; Actinomycetota; Acidimicrobiia.
CGGGCUGUGGCGCAGUUUGGUAGCGCACCUGCUUUGGGAGCAGGGGGUCGCCGGUUCAAAUCCGGCCAGCCCGA